CAGCAGCCACGGGAACACAGAGGGUGCAAGCGUUAAUCGGAUUUACUGGGCGUAAAGGGCGCGUAGGUGGUUAUUUAAGUGAGAUGUGAAAUCCCCGGGCUUAACCUGGGAACUGCAUCUUAUACUGGGUAACUGGAGUGCAGUAGAGGGUAGUGGAAUUUCCGGUGUAGCGGUGAAAUGCGUAGAGAUCGGGAGGAACAUCAGUGGCGAAGGCGGCCAUCUGGGACAACACUGACGCUGAGGCACGAAAGCGUGGGGAGCAAACAGGAUUAGAUACCCCCGUAGUCCCUGUCUCUUAUAC
RNAcentral lists this ribosomal RNA (301 nucleotides) under uncultured bacterium. RNAcentral's name for it is "partial 16S ribosomal RNA". It matches the Rfam family "Bacterial small subunit ribosomal RNA", at positions 509 to 807 of the family's 1533-position model. The record is from RNAcentral.